UAUCAGGUAAACCAGGGCCUGAAUUUCAUUUUGGAAAAUGGUGAAAAGUCCCCCCUAGGUGAUUGUUAUGGGGGGAUUUUUUUAAUUUGAAGUGGGAGUGACUUUUUUUUUUUUUUUUUUUUUUAAAUUACAACUGACACACACCCGCCUCCUGUCACUCACUUGUCUCAUUCGCUCCGGUUGAAUAGUGUUGGGUGUUAGGUCGUGACUUCUGAAUUUCGGCAAGGGGUUGCAGGUAAAAGUGCAUAAUUUUAGUCAUUCCUGCAGGUUUCACGCUCACACCAAAAAGCCGUCUCUUAAACAGCUCGCGAAAAACAAAUUGAGCUCUUUUUCAUGGCUUAUUGCGCUUAAACGGUUUGCGCUUUAAAAGACAAAAAUAAAAUAAACAGUGCCUUAACCAAAAAGAUUCAUUCUCAUGUUACGCAGCACGUUUGAGCUUCAGCAAGAACCAAUGAGGUUCAUUCUCGUGUUACGCACCACGUUUGAGCUUCAGCAAGAAUCAAUGAGGUUCAUUCUCGUGUUACGCAGCACGUUUGAGCUUCAGCAAGAACCAAUGAGGUUCAUUCUCGUGUUACGCAGCACGUUUGAGCUUCAGCAAGAACCAAUGAGGUUCAUUCUCGUGUUACGCAGCACGUUUGAGCUUCAGCAAGAACCAAUGAGGUUCAUUCUCGUGUUACGCACCACGUUUGAGCUUCAGCAAGAAUCAAUGAGGUUCAUUCUCGUGUUACGCAGCACGUUUGAGCUUCAGCAAGAACCAAUGAGGUUCAUUCUCGUGUUACGCAGCACGUUUGAGCUUCAGCAAGAACCAAUGAGGUUCAUUCUCGUGUUACGCAGCACGUUUGAGCUUCAGCAAGAACCAAUGAGGUUCAUUUUCGUGUUACGCAGCACGUUUGAGCUUCAGCAAAACCCAAUGAGGUUCAUUCUCGUGUUACGCGGCACGUUUGAGCUUCAGCAAGAACCAAUGAGGUUCAUUCUCGUGUUACGUGGCACGUUUGAGCUUCAGCAAGAACCAAUGAGGUUCAUUCUCGUGUUACGCGGCACGUUUGAGCUUCAGCAAGAACCAAUGAGGUUCAUUCUCGUGUUACGCGGCACGUUUGAGCUUCAGCAAGAACCAAUGAGGUUCAUUCUCGUGUUACGCAGCACGUUUGAGCUUCAGCAAGAACCAAUGAGGUUCAUUCUCGUGUUACGCAGCACGUUUGAGCUUCAGCAAGAACCAAUGAGGUUCAUUCGUGUUACGCAGCACGUUUGAGCUUCAGCAAGAACCAAUGAGGUUCAUUCUCGUGUUACGAAGCACGUUUCAGCUUAAGCAAGAACCAAUGAGGUUCAUUCUCGUGUUACGAAGCACAUUUCAGCUUAAGCAAGAACCAAUGAGGUUCAUUCUCGUGUUACGCAGCACGUUUGAGCUUCAGCAAGAACCAAUGAGGUUCAUUCUCGUGUUACGCAGCACGUUUGAGCUUCAGCAAGAAUCAAUGAGGUUCAUUCUCGUGUUACGCAGCACGUUUCAGCUUCAGCAAGAACCAAUGAGGUUCAUUCUCGUGUUACGCAGCACGUUUGAGCUUCAGCAAGAACCAAUGAGGUUCAUUCUCGUGUUACGCAGCACGUUUGAGCUUCAGCAAGAACCAAUGAGGUUCAUUCUCGUGUUACGCAGCACGUUUGAGCUUCAGCAAGAACCAAUGAGGUUCAUUCUCGUGUUACGCAGCACGUUUGAGCUUCAGCAAGAACCAAUGAGGUUCAUUCUCGUGUUACGCAGCACGUUUGAGCUUCAGCAAGAACCAAUGAGGUUCAUUCUCGUGUUACGCAGCACGUUUGAGCUUCAGCAAGAACCAAUGAGGUUCAUUCUCGUGUUACGCAGCACGUUUGAGCUUCAGCAAGAACCAAUGAGGUUCAUUCUCGUGUUACGCAGCACGUUUGAGCUUCAGCAAGAAUCAAUGAGGUUCAUUCUCGUGUUACGCAGCACGUUUCAGCUUCAGCAAGAACCAAUGAGGUUCAUUCUCGUGUUACGCAGCACAAUUGAGCUUCAGCAAGAACCAAUGAGGUUCAUUCUCGUGUUACGCAGCACGAGAAUGAACCAAUGAGGUUCAUUCUCGUGUUACGAAGCACGUUUGAGCUUCACAAGAACCAAUGAGGUUCAUUCUCGUGUUACGAAGCACGUUUGAGC
RNA transcript from Ctenopharyngodon idella (grass carp), 2158 nucleotides. RefSeq lists it as uncharacterized. NCBI's taxonomy places the organism in Eukaryota, Metazoa, Chordata, Actinopteri, Cypriniformes, Xenocyprididae. The transcript has 2 exons. The record is from RefSeq and is a predicted model, not a curated record.